UAAAUGUGGAGGACAAAUUAUAAAAAUCCUUGAAAUAUACAAUAAGUGGUUGCUAAUUCAUUCAUAGGCUAAAUUGCUGGUUAAUCGGUGGACCUUUUUAAUUUCAAACGAUAAUUACGCUCUAGCUGCUUAAGUGCCGCUAGCAUCCUGUCUUCUGAACCUACGGUGAAGGGCCAGGGUGUCAAAACAGUAGGUCGCUCUAACUGCAAUGCUCGGAGUUGUUAGAAAAGAUGAUCGAGCUAGCCUAAAAUGAGUCCUUGCCUUUAGGAGUCACGACUGGCGAAACUUAAAAUAAAGGAUACACGCGUAGACGCUUAUGUGGCAGCUCUUCGAUACAGGGGUGCAAAUCCCCUCGCCUCCACCA
RNAcentral lists this transfer-messenger RNA (364 nucleotides) under Desulfosporosinus sp. Sb-LF. It matches the Rfam family "transfer-messenger RNA", at positions 69 to 374 of the family's 374-position model. Rfam says of the family: Bacterial tmRNA, also known as 10Sa RNA or SsrA, is named for its dual tRNA and mRNA-like properties. Its role is to liberate the mRNA from a stalled ribosome. To accomplish this part of the tmRNA is used as a reading frame that ends in a translation stop signal. Lineage: Bacteria; Bacillati; Bacillota; Clostridia; Eubacteriales; Desulfitobacteriaceae. The record is from Rfam by way of RNAcentral.